Small nuclear RNA from Suncus etruscus (white-toothed pygmy shrew), 190 nucleotides. RefSeq annotates it as U2 spliceosomal RNA. The transcript has a single exon. Lineage: Eukaryota; Metazoa; Chordata; Mammalia; Eulipotyphla; Soricidae. The record is from RefSeq and is a predicted model, not a curated record.
AUCGCUUCUUGGCCUUUUGGCUAAGAACAAGUGUAGUAUCAGUGCUUAUCAGUUUAUAUCUGAUAUGUCCUCUAUCCGAGGACAAUAUAUUAAAUGGAUUUUUGAAGCUGAGAGUCGGAAGAGGACUUGCUCUGCCUGCUCCGUGCAUUGACCUGGUAUUGUAGUACCUCCAGGAACGGUUGCACCUCCC